AGAGCACUGUAAUGAUUUGCACAGACCAAGAUGUCUCAUGUUUUACUUUCAAACUGAAGUGAUGGGUGACAGGCUUUUACUAGCAAAAUUGUGGAGGAAAAAAUCAGGCUGUCAAACAGACAAGAUGCUAGAGUCCACAGUGCUGUGUGCUUUUUUGAUGAAAAACAGAGAUAGACAUUUUGCCAUUGAAAAUAAUGGAUUCUGAUGUAUUUCGUUUUAACGUGUAUUGUUUUAUUAUGUUGAUAUCUGCCCGUACAAGAGGCAAUGCCCGUAAAAGAGGCACUACUAUUGCUUGAGUUUGCUUUUUCAUUUAUCGAUAGUAACAACAGUCACUGUAGAAAAGUACUCCGAGAUGAAGGUUUGGUGUGUUUGUCUGUAUCAUGAGUCUUAUAGCCUCUCCUGUCUGUCCGAAUUUAUACUAUGCCGACUUGUUUGCCGGGUACACUGUCCAUACCCAAUACUAAGAGAUAAGGGUAUUCACCCGUGUGAAUGAACAAGUUCACUCACGCUGGUUUUACCUUUGCUUAUUUAGUGUACUGGGUAGACAAGUGCGGUCUAUCACAUCUCGGAGAAAUAUGAUACAUCAAGUAAGGAUCGUUGGCAAAUACAACGUGACACGUUAGGAAAAAUACAGUCAAACUGAAAAACUUUUCAUAGAAUCUUACUUUUGAGAUAUUAGAUAAGGCGGAUAGUACUUCGAAAUUUCAACACGUUGUAAAACCAAACUGAUUGCUGACUGAUCAUUUUUUCCUGAACGUCUCAUUUUGUAUUUGCUAUCGAGCCUUUAUGUCCAACUACAUGUCAUUGCAUCGAAUUGCAGUCAAACCUCUGAUACUGUAGUAUGAUGAAAAAGUAUAGCACAAUGCAUCGUCUCAAUGCGAAUAAAGCGAUAACUCUUACAUACUUGAGAAUGACAGAGUUACAUCUUUUUGAAAACCAUUACAAAAUCCUAGAGAUGCGUCUUGUCAACCUUUCGAGUAAGCUGUAAUACAAAAUCAUAAUAAGACUCGUAUCAAACUAUCAGAAUGCCAAAACAUGACCAUAAGGCUAUAUGAUAGCGAACGUUACUCAGAGAUUUGAAAUGCUUUUCGAUGCAAUAGUAUGAUGUUGGAAUUUUUUCCUAGUCCUUACAUGGUGUUGAGCAUUUUUCCUCCCUUGUUUGGAUUCUGAUCGGCAUGGGCAAAGUGUUAAUGCUGGUUAUAAUGACCCGACUCCGUAUUUGGCGAGGCAGCGAAGCCGGUAUGGGGAAUUACUUUGCCCGACGCUGCGAGAAUUCAUGGACAGGCAUUAGAUGCUUUUGCUCCGCCAAAGGGAAGCACGACGUUCCCUCUAUUGAGAUGUGCGAAUUACACUCUUUGGUUGCCUAGCUGUCCGGACGCCGCAGUUAGAUGUACGGGGAAAAGCAUCGAAUGUCUAUCCAUGAUACCGAUCCUUGUGAUUCUAGGUUUGAUCCGGCAUUGAAGUAAUGUGAAUUUUGUCCUGAUGCGUCACAGGAUAGUUAUCAUUUUCUCACUAUCCUGUUGCUAACUUUUUCCAAAUUUCGAUCAGUAGGGAAACAAAACAACAUGACGUUGGAAUUUUCUCCUAAAUUACUAAUGCAUAACACGUUGUUGAACAUCAGUGUCCAAUGUAGGGAGAAACUUCUCCUAAUUCAAAACGAUGAUACCUAAGAAAUGUCAAAGCAUUAUGUGUUUUGUAUAUACGGGACAAAUUUUCCAAAACAGUCCACCUUGAUAGUUUUAUAGUAUAUGUAGGAUUUCAUGUUCGGUCAAACAGCAUCAGUGACACUAUA
Mercenaria mercenaria is the source of this 1792-nucleotide long non-coding RNA. RefSeq lists it as uncharacterized. The record is from RefSeq and is a predicted model, not a curated record. Lineage: Eukaryota; Metazoa; Mollusca; Bivalvia; Venerida; Veneridae. The transcript is spliced from 2 exons.